RNAcentral lists this transfer RNA (69 nucleotides) under Ictidomys tridecemlineatus (thirteen-lined ground squirrel). RNAcentral's name for it is "Spermophilus tridecemlineatus (thirteen-lined ground squirrel) tRNA". It matches the Rfam family "tRNA". Rfam says of the family: Transfer RNA (tRNA) molecules are approximately 80 nucleotides in length. Their secondary structure includes four short double-helical elements and three loops (D, anti-codon, and T loops). The record is from Rfam by way of RNAcentral. Lineage: Eukaryota; Metazoa; Chordata; Mammalia; Rodentia; Sciuridae.
GGGGCUGGGGCUCAGCGGUAGAGCACUCACCUAGUACGUGUGAGGCCCUGAGUUCGAUCCUCAGCACCA